Molecule: long non-coding RNA, 1176 nt
Filed under: Urocitellus parryii (Arctic ground squirrel)
Lineage: Eukaryota; Metazoa; Chordata; Mammalia; Rodentia; Sciuridae
Description: lncRNA (ENSUPAG00010022105.1)
Source: RNAcentral
CCGCCUCUUCCAAGAGGAGGGGGAGGCUCAGCCACGCAUGGUCGAAGCCGCUCAGGGCAGUUACCAUCGCCCCCAAACACAGGGUUGUGAGUGGGGUCUGCUGCGGGGAAUGCACGCCAGAGAUCUCCAAGCAGUCACCCCCGCAGGCGGAGCGCCCACCUAAACACCAAGAGCUUUCCGCACCUGAACUUCGGGGGAACCCGCGCAGCCAAACUUUCCGCCGACUUCCAGCGAACUCCGGCCCCGGCCGCGCACCGAGCCCCGGGGGAGGAGAGGGAGGUAGGCGGGGAAGGGGAGGGGGCCGGUCUGGGGGGGGGGUCGGGGGAGGGCCAUGGCCCGACACCUACCGGCUCUCGGAGUCGUCCGAGCCGCCACCACCGCCGUCGCCGCGAGGCCGAGGGGGAGGGGCGGGGCGGGGAGCUGCGCUCCUCUCUGGGCACUGCCGCCGCGGUGCGCUCAGCUCCAGCCGCCCGCUGCGCCUGGGUCCGGAGCCGGAGUCGCGCCGCCGCGGCUGGCCCGAGGCGGGGAGGGGGGGGAGCCCGCAGCACCUGCCCCUCCUCCCCCUCCCCGCGGCCCAAAUUAAAAAACAACAAAAAGCAACUAAUCACCCCGGAGCGGAGCGCGGCGCGGCGGGCGGAGGGCUCAGCGUGCAGCGCCCGGACUCAGCAGGCGGCGCGCAUGCUGGGCGCGGGCUGGGCAGGGCUGGGACGCAGGGUCGGACUAUUGGGUUUUGAGGCUUCGCUGCUCUUCUUGCUCAGCUCAAACGCCUGCUUUCGCCGCCACCGCCGCCUCUGCUGCCGCCAGUGCCGCCGCCUCUACAUCCCCGCUCAGGCUUCGCCGCCUCUGCCGCCGCCGCCGCCGCCGCCGCCGCGCGCCCGCCCGGGCAGGAGCUCUGAACGCUGCCCGGGGGCUGCCGGCAAAACCUGGACCGGACUAGCCGCUCCCUCCCCCCCCCCUCCMCCYCGGCYCCCCUCCCUCCUCCUGCCGCCUCCCUCCCAGCGCAGCUCUGGCCACUUGGACGCCGCAGGCUCUGAGCUGGAGCCGCAGCCGCUGMGCCUGGAGCUCCCUGCGCCGUGGCGAGGUCCGCCUAGGUUCAGCUUCCCCGCGCUCCCUGCUUCACCCUUUUUUCGCGCAACUUUACAAAAAAAAAAAAAAAAAAGCCUCUCCCUUUUGUGA